Molecule: ribosomal RNA, 723 nt
Filed under: Torrenticola larvata
Lineage: Eukaryota; Metazoa; Arthropoda; Arachnida; Trombidiformes; Torrenticolidae
Description: eukaryotic LSU rRNA
Rfam family: Eukaryotic large subunit ribosomal RNA
Source: RNAcentral
GAGUACGUGAAACCGUUUGCAGGUAAACAGAUGGACCCACGAAGUCCUGUUGAGUGAGGGAUUCAUAUACUUUGGAAGGCAACUUGUUGCUGCUUCUUCUUCUUGGAGGAGGUAGCAGCAAGUCAAGUCAACCAAAGGAUGCAUUUCUCUCGCUCACGUUGGAACUCUGACUGCUUAGCAUGUUCACUUAUGAGCUUGACUAGAUGAUGAGGACCUUCGGGCUCUAACUUAUCUAGUCAGGCGAACAAGUGAAUCGCUGAGUAGGUGAAUUACUUUCGAAUGAAAGUGUUCAGAUUGUGUUUAUGGUGAAGAGAUGAUAUGUCUUGGUUGUAUGUUAUUCUUGACUCGUGCUUGAAAACAUGCAACAUCUGGGCAUAUGCACAUCUCUUUUCAUCCAUAAUCUACACAUAAUCCAGAGUAAGUAGGUCGGUCAUCCAUCUGACCCGUCUUGAAACACGGACCAAGGAGCCCAACAUUUAUGCGAGUCGCACAGUCUUGUUCAGGCUCGUGAGGCGAAAUAAACAUAAUGUUGUGACUGUUUCUUCUCCAAGAAACAAGCAACAACAACCUGUUUCAUCUUCUCGUAAGUGAAACGGCGUUUGAGCAUAAAUGUUGGUACCCGAAAGAUGGUGAACUAUACUUGGGCAAGACGAAGCCAGAGGAAACUCUGGUGGAGGUCUGUAGCGAUUCUGACGUGCAAAUCGAUCGUCAGACCUGAGUAUA